Long non-coding RNA from Marmota monax (woodchuck), 2201 nucleotides. RefSeq lists it as uncharacterized. The record is from RefSeq and is a predicted model, not a curated record. The transcript has 2 exons. Lineage: Eukaryota; Metazoa; Chordata; Mammalia; Rodentia; Sciuridae.
GAUACCAAAAUGGGAAAACUUAAUCUGAAGCCAAGGUACUAUUUUGAUUUAGACUAAAAGACAACCUUUUUUUUUAUUUUUUAGCUAAGUUCCCGAUACUUCUAAUACUCUUCUCAUUUUUCCCAUGGGUUUGCCAGAUAAGUAUAUGCACCUCAAGAAUAAUCAACUGAAGACUGAUGGAAGUUGGUGGAUGAAUACCCCAUUUCCUUCUCCUCAGUUUUUAGCGAUAUUAACCCUGAGGCACUGCCUAAUGCACUAACUGACCUUCAUUCUUCAGAAUUCAACUUAGAAGUUGCCUCUUCAUGGAAUCUGUCUGAUUUCCUCUCUCGGACAUGCAAGGUUCGAUCAGGAAUCUUUUCCACAGGCUCUCUGACACGUAGAAGGUGGCCAAUGUUUGUUCAUUAAUGGAUGACGUGUCUCUAGGUGAAAAGCACAUGCGAGAAGUAUGGCAUGAGGCCUCACAUAUAUUCAGUUCCCCAACGGUUUCCUGCAGAUGCGUUGCUCCAGCUCCAGUCUGAUCUCUGGUCAAGGUCCUCCCCCUUCUGGAGGAUAUAUUGAUUAGUGCUCUCUGGGGACAGUUCUAUUGAUAAUCUGGCUCUUCUCAGAAACACACAGCAUAAACAACCUUUCAGAUUUAUCCCAGCCUCCCUUGCUCAAUGUUAGCUGUUUCUCCUGGAAAUAUCGGUUUGGGGAGGAGAUGUUUAUUACCCCUAUGUCAUUUCUCAAGCCACGUUGGACACAUGAAGCCAAGCAAACAAUGGACUGUAACUGCUAAAAUAUGAGGAUCAAGUCUUCUACUUCAGCAUCUGGCCUUGUCCAGGAAGCUAUUUCUUUUCCUGCAGAGACUUGUGGCAACAAAGUGGACUCCCCAAGUUACAGCAUCCAAGCAAACAAGCACUAAGUCACAUCUCUACAUUUCAAACAAAAGUACCUAAAAUAGACUUUUAGUGUUCUGAACUUGAAGUUACUGUACUUGCAAAUGACAUCGGAUUAAUUUCUUGGCCUGCAUCCAAAGUAAAUGGACUUGUGUUCAUUGAGUUUUAAGGUAAAUGUGUCUUCUGUAUAUCUGCAAUAGUCGAGUGGUAGCAAAUAGCUGAUAAGCCAUUGAGGGAUUCAUUAGUCAUUUUCAGAAGGCUUUUCAACCAGGAGGUCCAUCUACUGAGCAGCUGCAAGCACGUUCCCUGGAAACUGAAGCUAAAUGAACAGGAGAUUUGUUUUCUAGAAACCAACCCAAACAAGAAAAACUAUUCUACAAAGAAAAGUGAGGUAUCACCUCUGGGGUCUUUGGAUAAAAAAAGAUGCCCUGAUAGCCAUAUGGCUCAAGUCCACUGGAAAAAAUACUGAGAGGGCUCUACUAAAUGUCAAAUGUGGCUGACACUCUAGGUGGGGAAAAGAAUUAGAAAGUCAUUUGCCAAGAUCUCUCAGUGAGUAGUGACUCUGUACUGAGUUUCCCACAUAAAUGAAGCAGAAGGGAACCAAGCCAAUAGGACCCUGAGUUUCGUGAGGUUGGCUUGUCUUCUAUGGCACACACAUGAAAUGAGACACAAGUGUACAGAAGUGGGACAGAUAACCAGCUAAUAACGUUCUUUUCCUUUGGCUUCGUGAUGUUGCAUAAGACAAAUCUCAAUAGGGAGACUAGUAGCUGAGCUCAAAACCCUGGUGGACACACACAUCUAUGCAUAGUCACAAAGGUUGGGAAACAAUAAACCAAAGACAGGAAGGGAAGGAAAUGUAACAGAGGGGUAUGAGAAUAUAGUCGGAUUCUCCAUUAUGUGAAGUUAGGUCCAGGCAAAGGCUAGAGACUAUAGCAAAUGACAGUCCUGAGCAGGUGCUCAGAGAACAGCUGUCUCACACACAAAGCUCAUCAUAUUAAAGCCACUCUGUUUACUGUAUAAUUAUAUUUACCUUUAAUGUCUACUGGGCAUUAUUCUUAUGUUCCAUUGUAGCCCAACCAAACAUUUCAUUUUGCAUGAUGAGAAGCCGAUUCUUUACUCUCUCCCUACUAAGCAUCAAUACAUUCUUUCAAAAGUACAGAUAAAUCAUGUAAAGGGGGACUAUCACUGGAUUGAGUUCUGACAGAGUUUGCACUGACAUUAUAUAAACUAUCAGGUAAAUGAAGUGACAAGGCUAACGAAGAUUGGGCUCUUUCCUGUCUGACUCCAUGUCUCAUUUUAAUCAAUAAAGCUCUUAGCAAAAUUCAA